CUACGGGGUGCAGCAGUGGGGAAUAUUGGACAAUGGGGGAAACCCUGAUCCAGCAAUGCCGCGUGUGUGAAGAAGGCCUGCGGGUUGUAAAGCACUUUCGGUUGGGAGGACUGCUUCUAGCACUAAUAUUGUUGGAAGUUGACGUUACCUUCAGAAGAAGCACCGGCUAACUCCGUGCCAGCAGCCGCGGUGAAUACGGAGGGUGCAAGCGUUAAUCGGAAUUACUGGGCGUAAAGCGCGCGUAGGCGGCUAGAUCAGUCGGGUGUGAAAGCCCCGGGCUUAACCUGGGAACUGCAUCCGAUACUGUCUAGCUUGAGUACAGGAGAGGAGAGUGGAAUUCCACAUGUAGCGGUGAAAUGCGUAGAUAUGUGGAGGAACACCAAUGGCGAAGGCAGCUCUCUGGCCUGAUACUGACGCUGAGGUGCGAAAGCGUGGGGAGCAAACAGGAUUAGAUACCCCGGUAGUC
Molecule: ribosomal RNA, 466 nt
Filed under: uncultured bacterium
Lineage: Bacteria
Description: partial 16S ribosomal RNA
Rfam family: Bacterial small subunit ribosomal RNA
Source: RNAcentral